Equus caballus (horse) is the source of this 1655-nucleotide long non-coding RNA. NCBI's taxonomy places the organism in Eukaryota, Metazoa, Chordata, Mammalia, Perissodactyla, Equidae. The record is from Ensembl.
AGCAGAUGCCCUUAAAUUGGCUAAGGUACCUCUUAAAUACAGGAAGCCCAACUGGGGCCCCCAGACUCGAAAGCAGGGCCGUGUGGAGCUGAAGCAGACAGUCCGCAUGUCUCUGAUUCCUGCAAAGCCGGCCGGGCUCACCGACGCCCGGCUCACCGACUCCCGGCUCACCGACGCCCGGCUCACCGAGCAGGCCACCACAGGAUCAGGAGGAGAGGGAAGCCCUGCACGCUCCCAGCCCAUCUCCGUGUCGAACUGCACCCUGAAGCCAGGUGUUGGCUACUGGCUGUGUUCCUGGGAUGCUUGGCUUAAAACCAAGUGGGGUAGGCACUGGUGGGAGGUCUGCACUGUCCUUGGGGCUUACGCUGUACAACACUGGAAGGUGAGAAUCAGGCAGAACAAAGUUAAUCAGACUUUCCAAGCUGUUUCAGUGGGUAAGAUGCAGACCCAAUGCUACUAGUAGCAUCAGCUUGGAGGAGGGUUCUGGAGGAACCCUUCAUCACACCUGACAGAACUGUCUAUCCGACUGGGACAGUGGGCUCUCAUUAGAUGAUGUCCUGUCUGGUAAAAAACAAUAAAAACUCUUUUACUGCAUUUCUAUUAUGUGCCAGGCACUGCCCUUAAGUAUAUUCUUCCAUCCAUCCUCAUGCCAACCCGAGGCGGUAAGAAAUAUGAUACCUAAUUUUUGGGUGAAGAAAUUGAGGCUCACACACUCCAGUGGCAGAGCUGGCAUUUGGUCCCAGGUGUGUCUGGCUGCGAAGUUCAUGGCUUUUUCGAUGCGUCACCCUGCAGUGAGACGAGAGCGGAGAUCUUCCAUUAGGUCUCCUCAACAUGUGUUUUCCACGCCAAUAAAUUUGACAAACUUUGGUGCAAACUUUUAUAAGUAGUGGAAACCCUCAGAGUUUUAACUGGGCACACGGACCAGUGAUGCAUCUCCCAGCCACUUUUGCUGUUGGAUAUGACCAUGUGACCAAGUUUGGGCCAGUGAGAUGAGAGAGGAAGUGAUGCUGCUUAGAGAAGUAGGGGAUUGUUCGUGACUGCCCCGCCAGCCCAUUGGCCAGCUGGGAAAUCACAAUUGGAGCAGUUGCCUGAAAACCGGAGUGGAAGCCAUGUGUUGAAAGUGGCAGAGCUGUCGCGUAGCCCAGGCUGUUUGCCUUUGACACCUUAUGUUAGAGAGAAAUAAAAUUAUUUCAGCCAUCGUAGUUUUAGGUCUUCAAACGGAUCAUUAGCAUAAGAGAAUUUCCCAUGCUUCCUCUCUCUCUCCGAACAUUAAAACACUGGCUGGCUGUCUUCCCCAUGUCUGAGCCUGUGCAUGGGCUUCAGUUUCCACAUCCCAGUUAUUCACUAGAUGCGAUCUUGAAGGAGCAGAUUAAGGGGGUUGCAGAAGCAAUUUGGGGCAUGACGCUGACCAGCUGUUGACAACCGGUACUGCUCGACUCUCAUUUCAAAGAUAAAAACAGAUAUGCCUCCUCAUUUUUCUCUUAAAUGAUCGCUGAGCAGAAAUUGCAUGCAUCUAGGACACAACAGGAAUAAACAAUAAAUGGGUUUUCUUCAUUUGAUCCAGAGAACACAAGAAGGCAGAAGAAAACCUGCAAAGAGCAAACACAAAUGAUUGGGGAGUGCGUGUGGCUGGGCAGCAGCAGCCAGUACUGGAG